RNAcentral lists this ribosomal RNA (926 nucleotides) under Bacillus subtilis. Its description in RNAcentral is "partial 16S ribosomal RNA". It matches the Rfam family "Bacterial small subunit ribosomal RNA", at positions 1 to 890 of the family's 1533-position model. The record is from RNAcentral. Lineage: Bacteria; Bacillati; Bacillota; Bacilli; Caryophanales; Bacillaceae.
UCUCUGGGGUUUUUGGGCGGGUUUAGAGUUUUGAUUCAUGCUCAGGACGAACGCUGGCGGCGUGCCUAAUACAUGCAAGUCGAGCGGACAGAUGGGAGCUUGCUCCCUGAUGUUAGCGGCGGACGGGUGAGUAACACGUGGGUAACCUGCCUGUAAGACUGGGAUAACUCCGGGAAACCGGGGCUAAUACCGGAUGGUUGUCUGAACCGCAUGGUUCAGACAUAAAAGGUGGCUUCGGCUACCACUUACAGAUGGACCCGCGGCGCAUUAGCUAGUUGGUGAGGUAACGGCUCACCAAGGCGACGAUGCGUAGCCGACCUGAGAGGGUGAUCGGCCACACUGGGACUGAGACACGGCCCAGACUCCUACGGGAGGCAGCAGUAGGGAAUCUUCCGCAAUGGACGAAAGUCUGACGGAGCAACGCCGCGUGAGUGAUGAAGGUUUUCGGAUCGUAAAGCUCUGUUGUUAGGGAAGAACAAGUGCCGUUCAAAUAGGGCGGCACCUUGACGGUACCUAACCAGAAAGCCACGGCUAACUACGUGCCAGCAGCCGCGGUAAUACGUAGGUGGCAAGCGUUGUCCGGAAUUAUUGGGCGUAAAGGGCUCGCAGGCGGUUUCUUAAGUCUGAUGUGAAAGCCCCCGGCUCAACCGGGGAGGGUCAUUGGAAACUGGGGAACUUGAGUGCAGAAGAGGAGAGUGGAAUUCCACGUGUAGCGGUGAAAUGCGUAGAGAUGUGGAGGAACACCAGUGGCGAAGGCGACUCUCUGGUCUGUAACUGACGCUGAGGAGCGAAAGCGUGGGGAGCGAACAGGAUUAGAUACCCUGGUAGUCCACGCCGUAAACGAUGAGUGCUAAGUGUUAGGGGGUUUCCGCCCCUUAGUGCUGCAGCUAACGCAUUAAGCACUCCGCCUGGAGUUGCCAACGGCU